This 23-nucleotide non-coding RNA is filed under the name Arabidopsis thaliana (thale cress). Lineage: Eukaryota; Viridiplantae; Streptophyta; Magnoliopsida; Brassicales; Brassicaceae. The record is from RNAcentral.
UGGGCGGUGACUCACGGCCGGGU